AUCCGGGCUUGGGACCGGCUAAGCACAAACUACUUAGACGGAGUUAAUCUGCAUAUAUAUAUGUACAUAUAUUCAUAACAGACUGACUCUGCCGCCUAUUGAAUGUAUAUAUAUAUAUUUUUCAAUUUCAUUUCUGAAGAUUUUCCGUCUUUCUUAUAUAUUUUGUUUAUUUCUUUAAUUGUUUAUUUAUUUUCCAAGAUUUAGAGAAUAAUUUCUUCCCUAUUAGCUUGGCUCCCUAUCGAUCUUGGUGCGUCGUUG
RNAcentral lists this unclassified non-coding RNA (258 nucleotides) under Hevea brasiliensis (rubber tree). The record is from RNAcentral. Lineage: Eukaryota; Viridiplantae; Streptophyta; Magnoliopsida; Malpighiales; Euphorbiaceae.